RNAcentral lists this transfer RNA (71 nucleotides) under Marmota monax (woodchuck). Its description in RNAcentral is "tRNA.Gly". It matches the Rfam family "tRNA". Rfam says of the family: Transfer RNA (tRNA) molecules are approximately 80 nucleotides in length. Their secondary structure includes four short double-helical elements and three loops (D, anti-codon, and T loops). Further hydrogen bonds mediate the characteristic L-shaped molecular structure. tRNAs have two regions of fundamental functional importance: the anti-codon, which is responsible for specific mRNA codon recognition, and the 3' end, to which the tRNAs corresponding amino acid is attached (by aminoacyl-tRNA synthetases). tRNAs cope with the degeneracy of the genetic code in two manners: having more than one tRNA (with a specific anti-codon) for a particular amino acid; and 'wobble' base-pairing, i.e. permitting non-standard base-pairing at the 3rd anti-codon position. The record is from RNAcentral. Lineage: Eukaryota; Metazoa; Chordata; Mammalia; Rodentia; Sciuridae.
GGGGCUAUAGCUCAGUGUUAGAGUGCCUGCCUACCACGCAUGAGGCACUGGGUUCAAUCUUCAGUACCACA